RNAcentral lists this ribosomal RNA (253 nucleotides) under uncultured bacterium. RNAcentral's name for it is "partial 16S ribosomal RNA". It matches the Rfam family "Bacterial small subunit ribosomal RNA", at positions 524 to 776 of the family's 1533-position model. The record is from RNAcentral.
UACGUAGGGUGCAAGCGUUGUCCGGAAUUAUUGGGCGUAAAGAGCGUGUAGGCGGCCAGGUAGGUCUGGUGUGAAAACUCGAGGCUCAACCUCGAGAGGUCAUCGGAAACCAUCUGGCUAGAGUCCGGAAGAGGAGAGUGGAAUUCCCGGUGUAGCGGUGAAAUGCGCAGAUAUCGGGAGGAACACCGGUGGCGAAGGCGGCUUCCUGGACCGACACUGACGCUGAGGCGCGAAAGCUAGGGGAGCAAACGGG